Molecule: ribosomal RNA, 465 nt
Filed under: Vreelandella stevensii
Lineage: Bacteria; Pseudomonadati; Pseudomonadota; Gammaproteobacteria; Oceanospirillales; Halomonadaceae
Description: partial 16S ribosomal RNA
Rfam family: Bacterial small subunit ribosomal RNA
Source: RNAcentral
CCUACGGGAGGCAGCAGUGGGGAAUAUUGGACAAUGGGCGAAGGCCUGAUCCAGCCAUGCCGCGUGUGUGAAGAAGGCCUUCGGGUUGUAAAGCACUUUCAGUGGGGAAGAAAGCCUUGGGGCUAAUACCCUCGAGGAAGGACAUCACCCACAGAAGAAGCACCGGCUAACUCCGUGCCAGCAGCCGCGGUAAUACGGAGGGUGCGAGCGUUAAUCGGAAUUACUGGGCGUAAAGCGCGCGUAGGCGGUCUGAUAAGCCGGUUGUGAAAGCCCCGGGCUCAACCUGGGAACGGCAUCCGGAACUGUCAGGCUAGAGUGCAGGAGAGGAAGGUAGAAUUCCCGGUGUAGCGGUGAAAUGCGUAGAGAUCGGGAGGAAUACCAGUGGCGAAGGCGGCCUUCUGGACUGACACUGACGCUGAGGUGCGAAAGCGUGGGUAGCAAACAGGAUUAGAUACCCUAGUAGUC